AGUCGCCCAGCCGCCUGGCCAAGUCCUACAGCACCAGCUCGCCCAUCAACAUCGUCGUGUCCUCGGCCGGCCUGUCCCCGAUCCGCGUGACCUCGCCCCCCACCGUGCAGUCCACCAUCUCCUCCUCGCCCAUCCACCAGCUGAGCUCCACCAUCGGCACGUACGCCACCCUGUCGCCCACCAAGCGCCUGGUCCACGCGUCCGAGCAGUACAGCAAGCACUCGCAGGAGCUGUAUGCCACGGCCACCCUCCAGAGGCCGGGCAGCCUGGCAGCUGGGUCCCGAGCCUCAUACAGCAGCCAGCAUGGGCACCUGGGCCCAGAGCUGCGGGCCCUGCAGUCCCCAGAACACCACAUAGAUCCCAUCUACGAAGACCGCGUCUAUCAGAAGCCCCCUAUGAGGAGUCUCAGCCAGAGCCAGGGGGACCCUCUGCCGCCAGCACACACUGGCACCUACCGCACGAGCACAGGUGUGUAAUCAGGACCCCACUGGGUGGCCUGUCCACAGGGGGUGGGCUCUGUGUGGGAGCUUCAGUAACACUCCCAAAUGAAAGAUGUGUGUCUGUGU
RNAcentral lists this small RNA (566 nucleotides) under Pongo abelii (Sumatran orangutan). RNAcentral describes it as "retained intron". Lineage: Eukaryota; Metazoa; Chordata; Mammalia; Primates; Hominidae. The record is from RNAcentral.